This is a long non-coding RNA of Coffea arabica (coffee), 726 nucleotides long. RefSeq lists it as uncharacterized. NCBI's taxonomy places the organism in Eukaryota, Viridiplantae, Streptophyta, Magnoliopsida, Gentianales, Rubiaceae. The record is from RefSeq and is a predicted model, not a curated record.
CGGCCAAAACACUUGGUCAGAUUUUGCUUCUUCUUAUCUCUCUCACAAGAAACACUGGCAGAGAAAGAAGCCAAAAAAGAGGAAGGGCAAUAGCAGGAGGAUUCCACACAUAACCUGCCCCAUCCAAAUAUACUUUGGACCCCAUGUCAUUUUCCCUCUGUUAAGCCAAAGGCUCAAACCGUUACUAAAAAGUACUACAUCAAGUACAAUCCAUCUGUUGCUCGACAAGUUUCUGCUUUCUCUGAGUUUCCAAGUGCAAAGAGAGCCCUAGUUCUUGAUGUUCUUCUGGUGGUGCCAUGUUGAUUCAGAGGAUUUUGUCUCCGGGCCAAACUAGCCUCGGGCUCAAGCUUACCAUUUGGUGGUAUAAUGCUUGUUUGUGUUUUUGGUAGCCUGCUUUGCUUAUGGGCUGGGUUGUAGUGUGCUCAGGAAGACUCCCCACUUGCCUUUUGUUGCUGCAGCGGCUGGCAGACAAAUCGAUUAAAAUCCUCAUCUCUGGUAGAACUAACUGAAGAUUGAUGGGAUAUUCAUGGUUAUGACCGAAGGCUCUCAUUUCAUUGGAAAGUUUGGAAGCUAAUGCAAGUUCUUUUUACUUGUUAGGGAUGAGAAUCUUUUAGUUUGUGCACAAGAGAAUUUUUCAAGUUUGUAUUUGUUAGGGAUUUGCGAUGUUAUUAUUUGUUACUGACUUUUAAUUCAAUAAAUUAUAUUUGAGCAUUGGCUUUUGCUUUA